This 1380-nucleotide long non-coding RNA is filed under the name Gallus gallus (chicken). Lineage: Eukaryota; Metazoa; Chordata; Aves; Galliformes; Phasianidae. The record is from RNAcentral.
GGAAAGUCUUUCAAGUUGAAAGAGACAAGUUUCAAACUGAUCACCUACUCUGGUGCCCUUUGCUUCCCAGUUACCUGGGAAAUAAAAAUUAAACCAGCUAUUGUCAUAGCUAGCUGUAAACAUUUUCCUGUGAUGCAACAGAAAUUAUUGAGCUAAUUAAUUGAUCCUGAAGUGUUCUUUCCAGUUUUAAAUAGGAAAUGUAUUUUUUAGAGCAAUCAGUGCAAUAGAUUACAGCUGACCUGGCCCCUAUUUUCCCCACUGCAUUAUGCAGCUCAGGUGUAUGAUGUCUCCUCUCAUUUGGACAAUAUAAAAGAAAAUCUUACAACUUAUAUGUGGUCACCAACAGGCUGCUCCACACCCCAGAACAGCUUUUCUUCCUGCUCCCAAGUCUAACAUCAACUCAAACCAAUUCCUUAUUCCCUCCAAAUAAGAACAAGUUUUUUGUUUUGUCCCACCAUCUUGUCUGAAGGCAUGAUUAAGAAGAAUACACACUGCUCUGUGUACUGCCAUUAACACCAAAAAUAUCUUCGUGUUUUGGCUGUCCCUCCACACGCAGAAUUUCUAUGCCUUCCAACACGUCAGAUACAGGGUAAUCAUCUUUGACAGCAAUCCUGUACCAAAUGGAACAAGUAAUCCAUUGUCAAUCUAACAGGAUGUGUUUUCCAACCGUAGCUGCUUAAUAUCAGGAACUCACUUUAGGACGCAUCCUGAGAUGGAGCAGGAGGAUCUUUAUUCUCGGGCUCUGGAGGAGGAGCUGGCACGCUUUCCUCUUUCUUUUGUGCAGCCAAAAAUUCAUGAAUCGCCCUCUCUAUCUGGGGCCUGAAGAUGUGGUUUAGUUUUGGAUCCACCACCUGAGAAAUAAUUCUGUCCACUCCAGCUUCCAGCAUUCCUGACUGAAUCACACUCUGUCUUAGCCCAUUUCGUAAUUGGUUUUUGUUCAUUGUUGGAUUCCAUUCCUGUUUGUCCAGAUGGGUUGAUACAAAGUUGUCCACCUUCUGCCUCAAAUUUUGAUAGGCUGGCUUGGUGUCCACGUCGGCCAGGCAGUCCCGGCGGAAGCCAUCGAACAGGCCGCGGCUCUUGAGCUGCUCCACGAUGAUGGCGAUGAGCUGCGCGUCCCCGGGCGGCAGCGAGGCCGGGUUGGUGGCGCCGGGCCCGGAGCCCGAGGCCGCGCCGCCCGCGUUCCCCGGACCCCCUCCGCUUCCCGCACCGCCGCCUCCCCCCCCGGGGCGGCCCCACCGGCGCCGCCGCUCUCGGACAUGGCGCACGGCCUGAGCCCGGGGCCCGCCAACGGUUGCGGCCGUCCACGGCGGCGCGCCGCGUUUUGCGUAACGCGGCGCGUUGCAUCGCGGGGAGGCGAGUCCUCCGCAGAGGGCGUCCUUG